This is a non-coding RNA of Sus scrofa (pig), 2412 nucleotides long. The record is from RefSeq and is a predicted model, not a curated record. NCBI's taxonomy places the organism in Eukaryota, Metazoa, Chordata, Mammalia, Artiodactyla, Suidae.
AACUCACCUCCUCCUGGAGACUAUGUCGGGUCCUUAACCCACUGAACCACAGUGGGAACGCCCUUCGAGUUGCCUCAUUAGGGGAGGAAUGGCUUCUAAAAAUGCUUCUACCUCCUCUUGAACAAUCCUGUCUCCCAGGACCAGGAGUCUUGACCUGACGAGGCAGAGUCAGAGGCCCUUCCCAAAUAUGAAAUUUUCCUAGAGUGCUUCACACCAGAGGUAUGUUGGUAGCAGAAGAAAAACCAAGUUUGAAAUGUAUGGAGCCAGGAGCUAGUCUGCCGAAAAUAAUUCUGGUCAUCAGUCACGUAAAAUUGUAAGUGGGAGGUUUGGGGUUUGUACAUAUCUAAUUAAAAUAGAAAUUCUUCCUUCUCAGAAAUAUGCUCAGUCAUGUCGCAUAUGUGAUUAUCAACUCACUCUUCUUUUUUCUUCUUUCAGUGGGAACUGUGUGAAAUAUCAUUUGUUAUAUUUUGUUUGUAGAGCACAAACCUCUAGCAGAAGUACAAACAGCUAGUGGAAUCUUCCCUGAAUUUGUAUGUUUUGGCAUUUCAGCUCUCAAUAAGAAAAUUAGUUUUGCCCAACCAUACUAGGGGAAAGACCGAAUUAUCUUUCUGUUCUCUCCAUAGGAAAUAAUGCUACCUCCUUGGCAUAUUUUUCAUGUGCAGCCAAAAAUAUAGGGAUGUAUGUAUGAUAGAGAAGUAAUAAGUAGGAGUCAAGGUAUUUAGGAUCCAUCACCAUGGACAAAUCCCACUGCCUGAUUUGGAAGAAGAAGAAAAAAAAAAGCUGUGUCUGGAGCUUGCAACUCCUUCUGUGCAUUAUACCCCCUGGCUGAUUUAACAUGGCUCCCUGAGAUUUCACAGCUUGGCAGAGGUUGUGUGGCUCUCCUGAGGCCACACAGUCUCGGAUGAAUUUGCCAGGCCCUCCUGGGUGGCCCCGUGUCUGCAAAGUCCUCCUAAAGCAGAUUCCGUGGGAGCAGCUUGGAUUGGUGGGAAAAGCCGUGGGAUCAGACUCAGAGUUGAAGUUCCACCUGCCCAGCUGUGUGACCUUGAGAAGUGACUGGCCCUCUCUGAACCUCGGUGUCCUCAACUAUGGAAUGGGCACGGAGCCAAAUGAAAGAAGAUGGUGUGAGUCAGAUCCGAAACUACAGCAAGUCGGGAAUAAAGCAGCACCUGAUAGCAUCUCCAGGAUUGCAAUUCCACAAAAGAUGCCUAUGGUGAAAUCCUGACGCCCAAUGUGAUGGCAUUAGAAGAUGGGGGCCUUUGGGAGGUGAUGACAACAUGAGGGUGCCGCCCACACGAAUGGGAUUAGCGCUCUUAUAAGCGACGCCCCCCUCCCCCCACAGAGUUCCCUUGUUCCCUCUGCCAAGUGAGGACACAGGAAGAAGACGGUCAUUUAUGAGCCAGGAAGACCUUGAGACAAACCACAUCUUCCAGCACCAUCAUCCUGGACCUCAGAGCCUUCAGAACUGUGAGAAAUAAAUUUCUGCUAUUUUUAAGCCUGUGGGUAUUUUGUAAUAGGAGCUUGAGUGAGAGGUUCCGUAUGUCAAAUCUGUGGUCAUUUGUUAGAGGAGCAAAGGGAACAUAGAAUGAUGGUAGGAUGACGAUGGUGGUGGCGAUGGAGGUGGUGGUAGCCAUGGUGACGAUGGCAGUGAUGAUGGGGGUGGGGUGGCGAUGGAGGUGGUGGCCGCAGUGGUAAUGACAGCCGUGAUGGAAAUGAAGUAUGGUGAUAGUAAUAAAGGUAGCGGUGGUGGAGGUGAUGAUACAUUUUGUAGGAGCUCAGUGACAACCCUCCUGUUUGGAUCCUCCCCUGACCGUGCAUUUUGAAGCAGGCUUUCCUGAGCAGAAGAUUGAAGCGGAGGACCUUAUGGGAAGGGGCUGGCUAGGGGGUUGAGAAGUGGCUGCCGAGUCAAGAGAGGACAGAGAGGUAGGGCGGGCAUGGAAGCCAAGCUAACAGGGCUUGAGCUUGUCGGCGAGAGGCGCUUUCGAGGCUUUUUACAUUUCCCUCUUUCAGUCUCUUUCUGCUGAGGACCAGAAGCUGCUCUUCAGGUGUUCCCUGGAGGGAGAAAACAGACAGUGUCUCCUGAGCGCCUCACUGCUCUGGGAUGGCCUGGGCGUGGGGGCCCAAGGGGCCUGCAGUGCUCUGAAGUGUGUGCAGCCAGUGUGUCCAGCAGCUCGGCCAAGAGAGGGGAAAGGACAUCCCAGAGCCCCCAGCAGCGUCGGGGCCCAGACUCAGCCUCCUGGCUUUCCAUCCUGGCUUUUCCUAUCAGGCCACAAACUCUUUGACCCCUGAGUCACUCAGAGGCAGAGCGGAAAGGGUCAAGGAUCCAACUGGACGGUACAGAGAGAGCCAAAGACAAGAGGAGGAGUCCCCGCUGAGGCUCAGCAGUAACGAACCUGACUAGGAACCAUGAGCGUU